Molecule: ribosomal RNA, 370 nt
Filed under: uncultured Bacillus sp.
Lineage: Bacteria; Bacillati; Bacillota; Bacilli; Caryophanales; Bacillaceae
Description: bacterial SSU rRNA
Rfam family: Bacterial small subunit ribosomal RNA
Source: RNAcentral
GGUGCAUUAGACUAGUUGGUGAGGUAACGGCUCACCAAGGCCACGAUGCAUAGCCGACCUGAGAGGGUGAUCGGCCACACUGGGACUGAGACACGGCCCAGACUCCUACGGGAGGCAGCAGUAGGGAAUCUUCCGCAAUGGACGAAAGUCUGACGGAGCAACGCCGCGUGAGUGAUGAAGGCUUUCGGGUCGUAAAACUCUGUUGUUAGGGAAGAACAAGUAUGAGAGUAACUGCUCGUACCUUGACGGUACCUAACCAGAAAGCCACGGCUAACUACGUGCCAGCAGCCGCGGUAAUACGUAGGUGGCAAGCGUUAUCCGGAAUUAUUGGGCGUAAAGCGCGCGCAGGCGGUUUCUUAAGUCUGAUGUG